RNAcentral lists this ribosomal RNA (406 nucleotides) under uncultured bacterium. RNAcentral describes it as "partial 16S ribosomal RNA". It matches the Rfam family "Bacterial small subunit ribosomal RNA", at positions 30 to 526 of the family's 1533-position model. The record is from RNAcentral.
AUUGAACGCUGGCGGCAGGCCUAACACAUGCAAGUCGAACGAGUGGCGGACGGGUGAGUAAUGUCUGGGAAACUGCCCGAUGGAGGGGGAUAACUACUGGAAACGGUAGCUAAUACCGCAUACCAUCGGAUGUGCCCAGGUGUGCAUAGCUAGUAGGUGGGGUAACGGCUCACCUAGGCGACGAUCCCUAACUGGUCUGAGAGGCUGACUAGCCACACUGGAUCUGAGACACGGUCCAGACUCCUACGGGAGGCAGCAGUGGGGAAUAUUGCACAAUGGGCGCAAGCCUUAUGCAGCCAUGCCGCUUGUAUGAAGGAGGCCUUCGGGUUGUAAAGUACUUUCAGCGAGGAGGCGUUACUCGCAGAAGAAGCACCGGCUAGCUCCGUGCCAGCAUCCGCGGUAAUAC